RNAcentral lists this ribosomal RNA (370 nucleotides) under uncultured prokaryote. Its description in RNAcentral is "bacterial SSU rRNA". It matches the Rfam family "Bacterial small subunit ribosomal RNA", at positions 524 to 896 of the family's 1533-position model. The record is from RNAcentral.
UACGGAGGAUGCAAGCGUUAUCCGGAUUCAUUGGGUUUAAAGGGUGCGCAGGCGGAGUGAUAAGUCAGUGGUGAAAGCCUACAGCUUAACUGUAGAACUGCCAUUGAUACUGUCAUUCUUGAGUAUUGUUGAGGUAGGCGGAAUGUGUCAUGUAGCGGUGAAAUGCUUAGAUAUGACACAGAACACCGAUCGCGAAGGCAGCUCACUAAGUUGUAACUGACGCUCAGGCACGAAAGCGUGGGGAUCAAACAGGAUUAGAUACCCUGGUAGUCCACGCCGUAAACGAUGAUCACUCGAUGUUGGCGAUAUACUGUCAGCGUCUAAGCGAAAGCAUUAAGUGAUCCACCUGGGGAGUACGAUCGCAAGAUUG